RNAcentral lists this ribosomal RNA (308 nucleotides) under Agaricales sp. Its description in RNAcentral is "eukaryotic LSU rRNA". Lineage: Eukaryota; Fungi; Basidiomycota; Agaricomycetes; Agaricales. The record is from RNAcentral.
CCGCUGGGUUAGCAGCGGAGCCCAAUGCCAAGCAGUGCUUGAGUGUCAUUAAAUUAUCAACCUUGCUCGCUUUUACCGGCUUGAGUUAGGCUUGGAUGUGAGGGUUUUUGCUGGCUUCCUUCAGUGGAUGGUCUGCUCCAUUUAAAUGCAUUAGUGGGAUCUCUUGUGGACCGUCACUUGGUGUGAUAAUUAUCUAUGCCAUCUUGACUUUGAAGCAAACUAAUGGGAACCUGCUUAUAACCGUCCCUUACAAGGACAACAUUUGACAUUUUGACCUCAAAUCAGGUAGGACUACCCGCUGAACUUAA